UACUAACCGUUAACACAAAUACGCUUGCAGUCGAGCGAAUGGAUUAAGAGCUUGCUCUUAUGAAGUUAGCGGCGGACGGGUGAGUAACACGUGGGUAACCUGCCCAUAAGACUGGGAUAACUCCGGGAAACCGGGGCUAAUACCGGAUAACAUUUUGAACCGCAUGGUUCGAAAUUGAAAGGCGGCUUCGGCUGUCACUUAUGGAUGGACCCGCGUCGCAUUAGCUAGUUGGUGAGGUAACGGCUCACCAAGGCAACGAUGCGUAGCCGACCUGAGAGGGUGAUCGGCCACACUGGGACUGAGACACGGCCCAGACUCCUACGGGAGGCAGCAGUAGGGAAUCUUCCGCAAUGGACGAAAGUCUGACGGAGCAACGCCGCGUGAGUGAUGAAGGCUUUCGGGUCGUAAAACUCUGUUGUUAGGGAAGAACAAGUGCUAGUUGAAUAAGCUGGCACCUUGACGGUACCUAACCAGAAAGCCACGGCUAACUACGUGCCAGCAGCCGCGGUAAUACGUAGGUGGCAAGCGUUAUCCGGAAUUAUUGGGCGUAAAGCGCGCGCAGGUGGUUUCUUAAGUCUGAUGUGAAAGCCCACGGCUCAACCGUGGAGGGUCAUUGGAAACUGGGAGACUUGAGUGCAGAAGAGGAAAGUGGAAUUCCAUGUGUAGCGGUGAAAUGCGUAGAGAUAUGGAGGAACACCAGUGGCGAAGGCGACUUUCUGGUCUGUAACUGACACUGAGGCGCGAAAGCGUGGGGAGCAAACAGGAUUAGAUACCCUGUUAGUCCACGCCGUAAACGAUGAGUGCUAAGUGUUAGAGGGUUUCCGCCCUUUAGUGCUGAAGUUAACGCAUUAAGCACUCCGCCUGGGGAGUACGGCCGCAAGGCUGAAACUCCAAGAAAUUGACGGGGGCCCGCACAACCGUGGAGCCUG
RNAcentral lists this ribosomal RNA (929 nucleotides) under Bacillus anthracis (anthrax bacterium). RNAcentral's name for it is "bacterial SSU rRNA". It matches the Rfam family "Bacterial small subunit ribosomal RNA", at positions 34 to 941 of the family's 1533-position model. The record is from RNAcentral. Lineage: Bacteria; Bacillati; Bacillota; Bacilli; Caryophanales; Bacillaceae.